AGCGACGUUACUGCGUACAUCUUUUUCAUCUCUGGACAUUACGACCAAACUACAAGGGAUGGAUCAAAAUGAAGAGCAAGCGAUGCUGAGUAUCUCUCCUUCCAAGCAACGUGUGCAGAGCUCGGUCUCUGCACCACCAUCAACAGCAAGCCCACAACAAGCUCCAAGAACAAAAAGAGGUUUAUUUUUAUUUUUCAUUCCUGAUGUCAUCAGCUGACAACUCUGGGACCAUGAAUUAUUUUCCCAAAAUUAAGCAUGACUUUCUGUCACAUGUUGGCCAUGUUCUGGUCGGACCAUGUUCUGGUCUGUUUGUCUUUGCUCUUCUACAUGUUGUCCUAGUGACUAUGAAUUGAAACCAGUCAUGUUGAGGUAAGUUACUGCUUUUGUUCUUAUUUGGAUUGAAUGAAAAGUACACAUUUAAACUGCUGUGGUCACUAACACUUGAACACAUGUGUUUGCAGUGUACCAAGUUAAUUCACCUGCUCAGACUGAGUUGUAAUGACUGAAUGCUGAAUAUUAAUCCAAACAAAAGUAAUGCAUGUGUAUGAACUAAAUGUAUUCUCUAAACAUUAAUAUGAGAAACAGUGUGUUUCACUUUAUGAGAUCAGCAGGUGGAGUAAAGAUGGGUGAUGUUUGGUCUUACUAACAUAAUGACUUAUUUCUAUAUUGCCAUAAUAUGAAUAAACUGACACACUUUUCUAUUUUAGUAUCUUCUGCUACCCUCUCCACACAAAGUCAACUGAAGGCUUCACUAGUAGAAGCCCCUGCUCUGCCUGUAAAGAGACUUGUGCCCCUUCCAAAGGAGCUGAUGUUUCUGAUGCCGGAACCAUCCGCCCCAAUGCCAACAGAGACCAACAUCACUGUUCCAGUGGCUCCUGAGAUUUCUGCAGAGACCUGUCAACCGACACUACAUCCACCAGCUGCACCAACACAAAGUGAG
This is a long non-coding RNA of Notothenia coriiceps (black rockcod), 940 nucleotides long. RefSeq lists it as uncharacterized. Lineage: Eukaryota; Metazoa; Chordata; Actinopteri; Perciformes; Nototheniidae. The record is from RefSeq and is a predicted model, not a curated record. The transcript has 5 exons.